RNAcentral lists this long non-coding RNA (384 nucleotides) under Vigna radiata. RNAcentral's name for it is "long non-coding RNA (VRAD_LNC006746)". The record is from RNAcentral. Lineage: Eukaryota; Viridiplantae; Streptophyta; Magnoliopsida; Fabales; Fabaceae.
GUUUUCUUCACAGAUAGGACAUGCUUUAUGACCCUUGACACUGUAUCCUGACAAAUUACCAUAAGCUGGAAAGUCAUUAAUGGUGCAAAAUAACAUUGCACGCAUCACAAAAGUUUCAGAAGCGAAUGCAUCAAAUAUUUCAACCCCAUCAACCCACAAAAAACUUCAAGUAUUCAACUAGUGGGCUUAGAUAAACAUCUAUGUCAUUUCCCGACUGCUUUGGACCAGAUAUCAUCAUAGACAACAUCAUGUACUUCCUCUUCAUGCACAAUGCAGGAGAUAAGUUGUAAAUUAUCAAUAUAACUGACCAAUAACUGUGAUUGGUACUCAGAUUACCAAAUGGGUUCAUUCCAUCAGUGGCUAAACCAAGCCUAAGAUUUCUAC